This 366-nucleotide ribosomal RNA is filed under the name Triticum aestivum (bread wheat). Its description in RNAcentral is "partial small subunit ribosomal RNA". The record is from RNAcentral. Lineage: Eukaryota; Viridiplantae; Streptophyta; Magnoliopsida; Poales; Poaceae.
AUGGUGCCGGGGCGUGGUGAUGGUGAUGGAUCGGUAAUGGCGCUGGAGCAUGGUGAUGGCGAUGGAUCGGCGUCGGCGCCGGAGCAUGGUGAUGAUGGUGGUGGAUCUGUGACGGCGCUGGAGCGUGGUGAUGAUGGUGAUGGAUCGGCGAUGGUGUCGGAGCUUUGUGAUGAUGGUGGUGGAUCGGUGAUGGGGCCGGAGCAUGGUGAUGAUGACGGUGCCGCCCGUGGGCGGGAGCAGGCGCCAACGCCGGACCGUGAUGGUGAUGAGGGCUCGGCGCUGGGGAAAAAUGGCCAAGAUGGUGAGCAGGGCUCGGUGCUUGAGUCGGUGUGUGGUGGUGGUCCUCGUGCGCCGAGGAGAGCAUAG